CAGCAGCCGCGGGAAUACGUAGGGUGCGAGCGUUAAUCGGAAUUACUGGGCGUAAAGCGUGCGCAGGCGGUUCGUUAAGACAGAUGUGAAAUCCCCGGGCUCAACCUGGGAAUGGCGCUUGUGACUGCAAAGCUAGAGUGCGGCAGAGGGGGAUGGAAUUCCGCGUGUAGCAGUGAAAUGCGUAGAUAUGCGGAGGAACACCGAUGGUGAAGGCAAUCCCCUGGGCCUGCACUGACGCUCAUGCACGAAAGCGUGGGGAGCAAACAGGAUUAGAUACCCCCGUAGUCCCUGUCUCUUAUAC
RNAcentral lists this ribosomal RNA (301 nucleotides) under uncultured bacterium. RNAcentral describes it as "partial 16S ribosomal RNA". It matches the Rfam family "Bacterial small subunit ribosomal RNA", at positions 509 to 807 of the family's 1533-position model. The record is from RNAcentral.